This 501-nucleotide ribosomal RNA is filed under the name uncultured bacterium. Its description in RNAcentral is "partial 16S ribosomal RNA". It matches the Rfam family "Bacterial small subunit ribosomal RNA", at positions 899 to 1397 of the family's 1533-position model. The record is from RNAcentral.
ACUCAAAUGAAUUGACGGGGACCCGCACAAGCAGUGGAGCAUGCGGUUUAAUUCGAUGUCACACGAAAAACCUUACCAACCUUUGACAUGGUGGUCGUAGGAUUCAGAGAUGAAUCCGUCGGUUCGGCCGGACCACACACAGGUGUUGCAUGGCCGUCGUCAGCUCGUGUCGUGAGAUGUUGGGUUAAGUCCUGCAACGAGCGCAACCCUCACUCUUAGUUGCCAGCGAGUUAUGUCGGGAACUCUAAGAGAACUGCCGGUGAUAAGCCGGAGGAAGGUGGGGACGAUGUCAGGUCAUCAUGGCCCUUAUAGGUUGGGCUACACGCGUGCUACAAUGGCGGUAACAAUGGGCUGCUAAAGAGCGAUCUUAAGCAAAUCCUUAAAAGCCGUCUCAGUUCGGAUUGCACUCUGCAACUCGAGUGCAUGAAGUUGGAAUUGCUAGUAAUCGCGGAUCAGCAUGCCGCGGUGAAUACGUUCACGGGUCUUGUACACACCGCCCGU